GCAGUCGAGCGGACAGAAGGGAGCUUGCUCCCGGAUGUUAGCGGCGGACGGGUGAGUAACACGUGGGUAACCUGCCUGUAAGACUGGGAUAACUCCGGGAAACCGGAGCUAAUACCGGAUAGUUCCUUGAACCGCAUGGUUCAAGGAUGAAAGACGGUUUCGGCUGUCACUUACAGAUGGACCCGCGGCGCAUUAGCUAGUUGGUGAGGUAACGGCUCACCAAGGCGACGAUGCGUAGCCGACCUGAGAGGGUGAUCGGCCACACUGGGACUGAGACACGGCCCAGACUCCUACGGGAGGCAGCAGUAGGGAAUCUUCCGCAAUGGACGAAAGUCUGACGGAGCAACGCCGCGUGAGUGAUGAAGGUUUUCGGAUCGUAAAGCUCUGUUGUUAGGGAAGAACAAGUGCAAGAGUAACUGCUUGCACCUUGACGGUACCUAACCAGAAAGCCACGGCUAACUACGUGCCAGCAGCCGCGGUAAUACGUAGGUGGCAAGCGUUGUCCGGAAUUAUUGGGCGUAAAGGGCUCGCAGGCGGUUUCUUAAGUCUGAUGUGAAAGCCCCCGGCUCAACCGGGGAGGGUCAUUGGAAACUGGGAAACUUGAGUGCAGAAGAGGAGAGUGGAAUUCCACGUGUAGCGGUGAAAUGCGUAGAGAUGUGGAGGAACACCAGUGGCGAAGGCGACUCUCUGGUCUGUAACUGACGCUGAGGA
This 711-nucleotide ribosomal RNA is filed under the name Bacillus amyloliquefaciens. RNAcentral describes it as "bacterial SSU rRNA". It matches the Rfam family "Bacterial small subunit ribosomal RNA", at positions 57 to 752 of the family's 1533-position model. Lineage: Bacteria; Bacillati; Bacillota; Bacilli; Caryophanales; Bacillaceae. RNAcentral also lists the same sequence under 1 other name. The record is from RNAcentral.